RNAcentral lists this non-coding RNA (45 nucleotides) under Schistosoma mansoni. The record is from RNAcentral. Lineage: Eukaryota; Metazoa; Platyhelminthes; Trematoda; Strigeidida; Schistosomatidae.
GUCCAGCCGACGAGUCCCAAAUAGGACGAAACGCGCGUCCCAGAU